UUCUAGCUUGCUAGAAAAUGGAAAGCGGCGAACGGGUGAGUAACACGUUGGUAUCUGCCCCCAAGUCAGGGAUAACCCACUGAAAAGUGGAUUAAUACCGGAUAGUCUCUUCGGAGUAAAAAUUUAUUGCUUGGGGAGGAGCCUGCGUUCUAUCAGCUUGUUGGUGAGGUAAUAGCUCACCAAGGCUAUGACGGAUAAUUGGUCUGAGAGGAUGACCAGUCACAAUGGAACUGAGACACGGUCCAUACUCC
RNAcentral lists this ribosomal RNA (251 nucleotides) under uncultured bacterium. Its description in RNAcentral is "partial 16S ribosomal RNA". It matches the Rfam family "Bacterial small subunit ribosomal RNA", at positions 73 to 339 of the family's 1533-position model. The record is from RNAcentral.